UACGUAGGGGGCAAGCGUUGUCCGGAAUCAUUGGGCGUAAAGGGUGCGUAGGCGGUCUUGUAAGUCUGGGGUGAAAGUCCAGGGCUCAACCCUGGGAUUGCCUUGGAAACUGUGAGACUUGAGUGCUGGAGAGGCAAGGGGAAUUCCACGUGUAGCGGUGAAAUGCGUAGAUAUGUGGAGGAAUACCAGUGGCGAAGGCGCCUUGCUGGACAGUGACUGACGCUGAGGCACGAAAGCGUGGGGAGCAAACAGG
This 253-nucleotide ribosomal RNA is filed under the name uncultured bacterium. RNAcentral describes it as "partial 16S ribosomal RNA". It matches the Rfam family "Bacterial small subunit ribosomal RNA", at positions 524 to 776 of the family's 1533-position model. The record is from RNAcentral.